UAUGUGAUCGUCUCUCGCAUAUCAAUAAGCGGAGGAAAAGAAACUAACAAGGAUUCCCCUAGUAACGGCGAGUGAAGCGGGAAGAGCUCAAAUUUGAAAUCUUAAAGGGUUUCCCUUUACGAAUUGUAGUUUAAAGAAGUGCUUUCUGUUGAGGUUUUGGUAAAAGUUCUUUGGAAUAGGACAUCAUAGAGGGUGAGAAUCCCGUAUUUGACCUUUACUUUCAACUUUGUGAUACACUUUCAAAGAGUCGGAUUGUUUGGGAAUGCAGUCCAAAAUGGGUGGUCAAAUUUCAUCUAAAGCUAAAUAUUGGCGAGAGACCGAUAGCGAACAAGUACCGUGAGGGAAAGAUGAAAAGAACUUUGAAAAGAGAGUUAAACAGUACGUGAAAUUGUCAAAAGGGAAGCGUUUGACACCAGUGUUGUUUUUCUGAAAAUCAAUUAAAGAACUGUUUAUGCUAAGUUGUUUAGACUUUAUCAGCUAACUGUUUAGUUUUGAGCUUUUCUUUAAUGCACUUUUCAGUUAACAAGUCAACAUCAAUUUCUUUUGCUGUAAAAAAGCUUGAGGAAGGUGGCUUGAGAUUCGUCUUAAGUGUUUAUAGCCUCUUGCCUAUGCAGUCGGAGAGAUUGAGGUCUGCAGCGUAGAUCCUUCGGGGCUAAAUGCAUUUGUGCUAAGUUAUAGCAUUUUAUAGACAACUUGUUGACUAUGAUUUGUCUUGUAGCUUACUCGCUUAUGUUAUUUUACCUACGCUUAGGAUGUUGAGUAGCGACAUACGCAC
Molecule: ribosomal RNA, 775 nt
Filed under: uncultured Neocallimastigales
Lineage: Eukaryota; Fungi; Neocallimastigomycota; Neocallimastigomycetes; Neocallimastigales
Description: partial large subunit ribosomal RNA
Rfam family: Eukaryotic large subunit ribosomal RNA
Source: RNAcentral